GACGAACGCUGGCGGCGUGCUUAACACAUGCAAGUCGAACGGAAGGCCCUUCUUUUGUUGGGUUGUCGGGUGGGGAAAGGGGUAAGAACCCGUGGGGUAACUGGCCUUGACUUUGGGAUUACUUCCGGAAACUGGGGCUAAUACCCGAUAGGGGCCCCUUCUUCCUGGUGGGGGGUGGGAAGGUUCGGCGGUUGGGGAUGGACUCGCGGCUUAUCAGCUUGUUGGUGGGGUAGUGGCUUACCAAGGCUUUGACGGGUAGCCGGCCUGAGAGGGUGACCGGCCACAUUGGGACUGAGAUACGGCCCAGACUCCUACGGGAGGCAGCAGUGGGGAAUAUUGCACAAUGGGCGGAAGCCUGAUGCAGCAACGCCGCGUGCGGGAUGACGGCCUUCGGGUUGUAAACCGCUUUCGCCUGUGACGAAGCGUGAGUGACGGUAAUGGGUAAAGAAGCACCGGCUAACUACGUG
RNAcentral lists this ribosomal RNA (467 nucleotides) under uncultured bacterium. RNAcentral describes it as "partial 16S ribosomal RNA". It matches the Rfam family "Bacterial small subunit ribosomal RNA", at positions 28 to 507 of the family's 1533-position model. The record is from RNAcentral.